RNAcentral lists this ribosomal RNA (505 nucleotides) under uncultured bacterium. Its description in RNAcentral is "partial 16S ribosomal RNA". It matches the Rfam family "Bacterial small subunit ribosomal RNA", at positions 28 to 507 of the family's 1533-position model. The record is from RNAcentral.
GACGAACGCUGGCGGCGUGCCUAAUACAUGCAAGUAGAACGCACAGUUUAUACCGUAGCUUGCUCCACCAUAGACUGUGAGUUGCGAACGGGUGAGUAACGCGUAGGUAACCUGCCUGGUAGCGGGGGAUAACUAUUGGAAACGAUAGCUAAUACCGCAUAAUAUUAAUUAUUGCAUGAUAAUUAAUUGAAAGGUGCAAUUGCACCACUACCAGAUGGACCUGCGUUGUAUUAGCUAGUAGGUGAGGUAACGGCUCACCUAGGCGACGAUACAUAGCCGACCUGAGAGGGUGAUCGGCCACACUGGGACUGAGACACGGCCCAGACUCCUACGGGAGGCAGCAGUGGGGAAUCUUCGGCAAUGGACGAAAGUCUGACCGAGCAACGCCGCGUGAGUGAAGAAGGUUUUCGGAUCGUAAAGCUCUGUUGUAAGAGAAGAACGGGUGUGAGAGUGGAAAGUUCACACUGUGACGGUAUCUUACCAGAAAGGGACGGCUAACUACGUG